GACGAACGCUGGCGGCGUGCCUAAUACAUGCAAGUCGAGCGAAGUUUUUCUGGUGCUUGCACUAGAAAAACUUAGCGGCGAACGGGUGAGUCACACGUAAAGAACCUGCCUCAUAGACUGGGACAACUAUUGGAAACGAUAGCUAAUACCGGAUAACAGUAUUUCUCGCAUGAGAGAUAUUUAAAAGUUGGUUAUGCUAACACUAUGAGAUGGCUUUGCGGUGCAUUAGCUAGUUGGUGGGGUAAAGGCCCACCAAGGCGACGAUGCAUAGCCGACCUGAGAGGGUGAUCGGCCACACUGGGACUGAGACACGGCCCAGACUCCUACGGGAGGCAGCAGUAGGGAAUCUUCCGCAAUGGGCGAAAGCCUGACGGAGCAACGCCGCGAGAGUGAAGAAGGAUUUCGGUUCGUAAAGCUCUGUUGUUAGGGAAGAAUGGAUAUGUAGUAACUAUACAUGUAAGAGACGGUACCUAACCAGAAAGCCACGGCUAACUACGUG
Molecule: ribosomal RNA, 499 nt
Filed under: uncultured bacterium
Lineage: Bacteria
Description: partial 16S ribosomal RNA
Rfam family: Bacterial small subunit ribosomal RNA
Source: RNAcentral